UUACAAUUAAAGGAUAUUUCUUGAGGCAUUAUCUAAAACGGAAAUAUCCCUUAAUUGUUUGAC
This 63-nucleotide microRNA precursor is filed under the name Lepisosteus oculatus (spotted gar). Its description in RNAcentral is "mir-7552 microRNA precursor family". It matches the Rfam family "mir-7552 microRNA precursor family". The record is from Rfam by way of RNAcentral. Lineage: Eukaryota; Metazoa; Chordata; Actinopteri; Semionotiformes; Lepisosteidae.